GGCACCGCUGGGUGGCGCCCCUCUUCUGCCAGCGCCCCUGGCGAGUGCCAUCCUGGCCAAAGCGUAGAUACGCCCCUGGUGAUGUGUUUAGCAAGAUACUGAUUUAUUUUGCCACAAAUUCUGCUCUGUUUAGUGGCUUUUUCUGGGAUAGAAAUUCCUGCCUCUGUGCUGUGGUAGGAAAGGGAAAGUAAUGAGAGUGCCGCUCAAGAGAAGGAUUGGGACAAGAGUCACUGCUUCCAGACACUCAUUCAGAAGAAUAUACACUGCCAGAGCAUUAGAAUUAUUGUGUCAUAAACAAGGUACUGAUUUACUGUACCCACCCUGCAUUUUACAAGGAGGAACCUAUAGAAGGAAAUAUGUUAACAUCUCCAUAACAUAUACAGGAUGUGUUGUUAUAACCUUUAUGGUUUAGUUAUAGGUCAAAUUCUGUAUUUUUAUCUAUAAAGAAUUUUACCAAGAACAA
Pseudophryne corroboree (corroboree frog) is the source of this 463-nucleotide long non-coding RNA. RefSeq lists it as uncharacterized. The transcript is spliced from 2 exons. Lineage: Eukaryota; Metazoa; Chordata; Amphibia; Anura; Myobatrachidae. The record is from RefSeq and is a predicted model, not a curated record.